This 455-nucleotide ribosomal RNA is filed under the name uncultured bacterium. RNAcentral's name for it is "bacterial SSU rRNA". It matches the Rfam family "Bacterial small subunit ribosomal RNA", at positions 340 to 785 of the family's 1533-position model. The record is from RNAcentral.
UACGGAAGGCAGCAGUGGGGAAUAUUGCACAAUGGGCGAAAGCCUGAUGCAGCUAUGCCGCGUGUAUGAAGAAGGCCUUAGGGUUGUAAAGUACUUUCAUCGGGGAGGAAAAAACAAAACUAAUAAUUUUAUUUCUUGACGUUACCCGAAAAAGAAGCACCGGCUAACUCCGUGCCAGCAGCCGCGGUAAUACGGAGGGUGCUAGCGUUAAUCAGAAUUACUGGGCGUAAAGAGCACGUAGGUGGUUUUUUUAAAGUCAGAUGUGAAUCCCUGGGCUUAACCUAGGAACUGCAUUUUGAAACUGAAAUACUAGAGUAUCGUAGAGGGAGGUAGAAUUCUAGGUGUAGCGGUGAAAUGCGUAGAUAUCUGGAGGAAUACCUGUGGCGAAAGCGGCCUCCUAAACGAAUACUGACACUGAGGUGCGAAAGCGUGGGGAGCAAACAGGGAUUAGAUAC